ACAAUGGCAAUGAUGAGAAGAGUAAUUAUUGACGCAAUCCACAGAGAGCUGCCGAAAGGGUGAAAGGCGGUAUUGGGUUAUUAAUGAAUAUGGUCUCUGAGCCGCAGCAUUCAAGUAAUGUUGGGGGAUCCGCCCAUUACAGCGGUACAGUAAACACUUGAUACUGUAUGAGGCUGGAACAGUGAUGUUUCAGUGAAUAUAAGGUGGUACCACGAUUAGCUUUCGUCCUUCUA
RNAcentral lists this non-coding RNA (233 nucleotides) under Salinicoccus halodurans. Its description in RNAcentral is "T-box sequence". It matches the Rfam family "T-box leader". Rfam says of the family: Uncharged tRNA acts as the effector for transcription antitermination of genes in the T-box leader family. T-boxes are found upstream of many aminoacyl-tRNA synthetase genes and some amino acid biosynthetic genes usually in Gram-positive bacteria. Lineage: Bacteria; Bacillati; Bacillota; Bacilli; Caryophanales; Staphylococcaceae. The record is from RNAcentral.